CUGGAGUGUAGACAAUAACUUUGCCUGGUUGAAGGGCUGCUGAGAUCAUCUGGAGGUCCUGCAACUGCAUGAGGGGAGAGGCUGCAGUUCACAGCUGUGAUACGCUAUUUGGGUCACGGAUAUCCUUGGAGUCUGAUCCUAUGAAGACUUGCUACUACAGAUAUAUGGCCACAUUCUGUGCCACCUAUUAGGCCCAUAAAGGAUUGAGGCACCUA
Long non-coding RNA from Alligator mississippiensis (American alligator), 215 nucleotides. RefSeq lists it as uncharacterized. NCBI's taxonomy places the organism in Eukaryota, Metazoa, Chordata, Crocodylia, Alligatoridae. The transcript has 3 exons. The record is from RefSeq and is a predicted model, not a curated record.